Xiphias gladius (swordfish) is the source of this 2431-nucleotide long non-coding RNA. RefSeq lists it as uncharacterized. The record is from RefSeq and is a predicted model, not a curated record. Lineage: Eukaryota; Metazoa; Chordata; Actinopteri; Istiophoriformes; Xiphiidae. The transcript is spliced from 8 exons.
CCGAACCUGGACAACAUUUCAUUGUCAUCGAGCUGUUGAUACUCUCAUCGUUUGUGUACUAUAAUUUGAAUGGAAAGAAGGAAAACAUAAAGGGGAACUUCUGCAUCUGAUGUCCUCUCAUGAAUAACAUGUCCAACUCACCCCUCUCACCUUUAAAGAGGUUAUGGCGGCCGGUUUCCUCAAAUAUGUGAAACAGCGCCCCCACUGGAAUACACGUCCGCUUACUGUCGGUUUGUGCGGUGAGAGAGGGUAUUGCUACGCACAGGUGUGGUGCUGAGGAAUCAUUUCAAGUCAGCCGAGAAGACGUCAGGUGUCCACUGAUUUUCACAACGUGUUGCAAGGGAUGGAGGCUAUGGCUGUUGGAAAAAGCAGUAGCCUAAAAUCUAAAACUGUACUGCACCCUUGUGACAAUAGUCUUGCAGGUGAGUAGCUGAGCAGAUGAGAAGUGUGUCAUCAUCGCCUUCAUCCUCUCCUCUCCUUUCCUCUUCCCUGGCUUUUUCCCAGAGGGCCUGGUUCGACUGUGCGCCGAGACGCCAGCAGACUUCAAAGAAGUAGAGAGAUCCGUGAAGGGGAAAGAGGUGAAAGAGACUCUGGCAGUUAAAGAAAAACUCAUACAAGGACCAGAGUGGAGAGAGUGAGGAGAGAGAGAAGGAGAGGUCCCACCAGGAGUGUGUGUGGUUUGAAGUGUUUUGUUGAAGGAGACAAAGAGAAGGACAUACAGCAGUCCACAAGUCAGACCUCAGCAUGUGUUUGACAUACGGUGGAGGAAGUUGAUGUGUGAGGUUUCUGGACUCUGGACAGUGUAGACAACGCACAACAUGGCAGCAGUUUCACCUGCCUGAUGAAGUCCAGAUGUUGCCAAGUUAAAAGUGAACCAUACAUUAUGACUGACCGUGGUACGUUCAAGCUACCAAAGAGGAAAAACGUGGAUGCAUGCCGGUAAAGGAUUUGUUUGGCUGUUCAUGACCACCAGACAGACACUGUGGCCCUUCUGAAGACACUGGGCCCCAGGAGGCCCCUCACCCUUUAAUCCAUUAUGGACGUUGGACAAGUUCUCCUCUGCAGGAAGAAGCGGACACCAAACGAAACAAAGUGUGCGUCAUAAGAGCUGGCUUGAAAAUGUCCGUCAGUGCUACCUGAGCGAUGAGUCGACUGAGUACUUAACUCUUGUUCUGCAACAGCCUUCCUCAAACACUUCGACUCUGAAAGAGACGUAAAGAGAAAGGAAGAGAGGAAACAUAUUCAGACGGAUGACAGCAGCUCCCGGUGGAUUCAAACGUAAGACUUUUGUGUAAAAGAUUAUUCUGGUGUCUGUUUCUCAGCGAGAAGACGGCGCCUUUUCUUCAGUGACAGGAACCAUUUACAGUUUAAGCGAGUGUGUGUCGAGAUGGAAUACUGAGUGGACACACACUCUCUCUCUCCCCGUCCGACUCUCACACACUUACAUUGAGGCCCACACUGACGGACAGCAGCAGCAGCAGCAGGAGGACAAAAGUCUGUAUGGGACGGUUUGACAGCGCCUAGGGAGAGAGACGAGAUUACAGAGGGACAGAAAGAGAGAGAAGGGCGGAUUAUAAACACAGAAGAAGAAUGAAAGACUGUCUCCUGGACUUUAAGCUGACAAACACACACAGUCUCAGUCAUGUACACAAAAGGAGAAUCUCCUAAACAAACUGGUAAUGUGUAGCUGUGGUGCUCGCAAUCUCAAACUGUUACUAUCCAGCAAUAUCUUUGGCAAAAGAGUAAUGCCACAUGAAGGUUUUUCCCUAUAAACAAGUACACGUCAAAUAAAAAUUUAAAACUUUUUAAAUUUGACAAUGAUCUUAUCUCAGUGUCUAUUCACUGGCUUUUUUCAGAUCUUUCGACAGCAUCUCACAGUCUUCAUCAGCAAAUGGAGUUCGCCAUGUUGUCCUCAGGUGACCUCAGUGCGAAACUUGGGUCACGUGAUUAUGUAUACAGUACAGGCACCUGUUAUCACAUGACCAAAGUUCUACACUUGGGUCACAUGACAACUGAAUCGACCACAACCAAAGCAAACUACGUCCCCUGAUGAAGACUGAGACACAGUAUAGUUGAAAGCUCGUGAAAAUGCUCAUCAGGACCUUUUUUAAAUUAAAGCUUCAACGUGUUGUUUUUUGCAGUAUGUGCUAAAACGACUGCUGAUGUCGUUUAGCACAAAAAGCUGGUAAGUGGACCUUGAGUUAUGAUUAUGUUGUAAAACAACUCUUCCCCAUUAUUGUGUCACAGGUCGUACAAGUUGGUCUGCAUUGAAUUUACUUUAUUACCAAUCUGUGUUUAGUACACAAAUCAAAUUACAACAGUUACACAGAUCUCCAGAUAAAACACAGUGAACCCACCAGCACCUUGUCAACAGUUGCCUUUUAAAUAAACUGCAAAUGCUGUAAAACAACGGCAUGCGCUGCAUAUUUCA